CCGCGCCCGCACGUCCCUCAGAACUCUCAGUGAGUGUCAGAUCAACACAUUCAUCCACCAUAUCCCGUGUGUAUAAGAACAAUCCAUCACUCCUGACCUAAUCCAGCACAGAACAGAACUUCUGGAAGAGGACUAAAGAAGAGAAAGAGUGGAAGUGUCACAUGCCCAGAGGAAAAUAGAUGCGACAGAGAUGAAUAAAACAAAACAAAACAAAAGGAAGAAAGCCAAGCUAAUCUGGGAGUUCCAUCACGGCUAAGAACGCAUCUUUGUUUUGUCACGCGGUUUCUAGCCCGGCUCAGACCUGGGCUGCGGCACCUCAGGCAUCUCCUUUCAUCUCUCGGCUUUUCUCCUGGCUCCCGGGCGCUUCUCGAGACUUUUUGGACCUGGACUGGUCCAUGGCAGAACACCUCUUUCCUGAGUCCUCCCUAUGCACCUGCCCAAAGCGGGGGAUUGGGGUGGCACUCUCCAAGAUGCCAGGCUCCUCAAAUGGAGCCAUCACCCCCUAGGCUGUACUUGGCAUUGUCUCCAAGGAGCCUGGGGAGGUAACCGGUUGGGGACUGAUUCACUUGGGAGGGAGGGAGCGAGUGCAGAUUGCAGAUGCUAUCUAGUCGGGCCAAGUCAACCUGGGGAAGGGCAGGUCUGUGUCUCAACUGGUUUAGGGGUGGGAGAGUGGGAUUGGAACUUUUACACCUUGCAUUCUUAGGACGUCACAAUGGUUUUCCCAAGGCCUCCUUAUCUGAGGGUGUUUACCUAUUCAACCAGCAUACGCAGGUUCAGGACUCCCACUUUGUCCGGGUUCUGUCCUCACAGGCACAGGAAGAUUAAUGCGAACAACAGGGUCUGACAAACCAAAACUCACAGAUAAGAGACUUGGGUUAUUAGGGCAGAUGCCAGAAGUCAUGGGAUCUUCACGGGGUGGCUGUAGGCUGAGC
This 932-nucleotide long non-coding RNA is filed under the name Homo sapiens (human). RNAcentral describes it as "non-protein coding lnc-CFL1-1:2". The record is from RNAcentral. Lineage: Eukaryota; Metazoa; Chordata; Mammalia; Primates; Hominidae.